CUUCUGGUGAGAGAAAGCUGAGCAGAAUGGAUCUAAUCUGAUUCCUCCACCCAGAAGCCCUUAAAAUGCAGCUUUGUUUUAAGCCUUCUUGAAGAUUUGGGCUAGAUCUAGAAAAGAACCUCACCACGGAGGAUGUGCAAAGUACAACACGUGACCCCGGAGACGGAAGCUCUUCUCUACCUCCGUAAAGAUGAUCUCUGAUGAACAGACAUGAUCAUGCCUGGAGAACAGGGAUGGACAGUCCCGCUUCUGAAAGACCCUGUCUGGCUGAUGAUUCAUGGUGCGCCGGGCAGACCCCAGGCCAAGAGACCCCACCCACAGUACCUGAGUGCUCAGCUGGGAACCAGACCAGACCUCAAAACAGGUUUGCAGAAUUAAGAUGAGGAGCUGAGCUCAACACAGCCUCCGCAGCUCCCCAGGGCGGGCCUGAGCCGAGGGAGAGCCCAUGGCCAUCAGGGUGCUGGAAUGCAUGUCACACUGCAUUACGUGCAUUACGAUCCACGCUGCAAUGACAGCCCAGAGCGUGGAGAACCCAGAGAGGGUGGGGAGAUGGAAUCCCGGCGAGCCAGCGCUGGCAGGGACCACGGGGAGCAGCUGGUCCAGCCGCCGGUUUUCCAAGAGAGAAGACUAAGAAGUGAGUCACUUGCCCACAGCCACAGAGAGAAGGAGGGCAACGAGGCCGGCAGGUCAGCAGCGAGCAGUUAGUUCAAGGCCUUGAGGGCUUCCACUAACUUUGAAGGGCGAGGAUGGGCGGAGCUCUGGAGGCCGCCGGGGUUCCCAAGGUUACCACCCAACCCUGCCAACUUUCGCACCCCGCAAGGAGCAAGACCCCGCCCGCUCACCACCUGCCUGUGCAGCCAACGGGCCUCGCUGAGCUGCCCUGGGCCGCUCCCUCCAUUCACACAGUUGGCCCUCCCUCUCCCUGCCUCCCUUCGCCUACCCCACGAACUACUUCAUCCCUCUGGGCCGGCACUGUAGAAGCCCCAUUGUUCACAUCGACCUCCCAAUUAUCUCCUCUUUCCCUCUCCCUCUGCUCCUGCCCAGACCAGCCCCCCAGCAUUGACCUGGAUGCCUGCCACAGCCUCCUCCCUGGUCUCCGGCCUCCCACCUCUGCUCCUCGGUCUCCUCUACCCAGCCAGUAACUGCAGAGAGCACUAAAGCACAGUCCUGGCAUCUCACCCCCUUAACCCUGGCCACGGCUUCCCAGUGCCUCCAAGAUAAAGCACCAACACCUGAGGACAGCAGCUUGUUUUGAGAGUCCCCUCCAUUGAAACACGCACAUCUAAUUUGUCCUUCAGUUCGCUGGACUCCACGCUGAACGUGCCAUGCUCCAUUGCCCCGUGAGUAACUCCAUGCUCUUGCCGGUUUCACACGGCCUCUCAGAGCUGGAGCCUUUGUUCAGGAGCCCUGGGCAGCUUUCAGGAAGCUCUUGGGCUCAUCAGCUUCCUCUGGCUGAAGCCGCCCCAGUGGAAUCAUGGGGAUUUCUUACUUUGAAGGUGGGGCCACCCGCAGACUGUAACCGGCUGGUUCAAGAUCAAGGACUUCCCCAGGCCACCUGCCUCAGAGGCAAGAAAGGCUCAGCUGAGUCCCAGACACUCCUCGCUGUGGCCCCUCCUUCCUCCCUGCUGGGCAGGCCCCCCUCAAUUCUGUUUGCCAGCAGGGCCUAGUAACACUGAAAGACGAAAAGGGAAAUAAAAUAAACACAAUUAAUAGGCUAAAGGUUACUGAAUAAAGUGGCAGCAGUAAAUAAAUUGACUACUGUGCAAAUACAAAGACAUGAAGACAUGAAACCCCUGCUCUAAAUGACCACUCACCAAGAGCAAGGCCUGGGCUGGAGGCAGGGAGCACCUCCCUAAGGAGCACUCCCUCUUUCCCGGAGUGAGUCCUCCUUCUAGAUGGAAUUCAGUCCGGGUUCCUCUUGAGCCACAGUCCCUGUUGGGGCCUAUCUCAGUGGACUCAAGAUCCUGAACUUCUUCCAGAUUGCUGACUACACAUUUGAGUCACCCAGAGAUUAAAAGAAAAAACAAAUAAUUUCCCAGUGAUCAGGAGUAAAUCAGCUGGGGCAGGGUUGGUGCUAUGAAUGACCACACUGAUUUGUACACUUCACUGAUUUGUAGUGUUUGCUAUUUCCGUCGUGUAAAUACUGCCAACAUGGACAAUCUUCAGUUGCUAAUGGUUUACUAACUGGCUUGUAAAUGAAUUCAUUCAGUAUUCAAGAAAAUGGCACUACAUUUA
This 2235-nucleotide long non-coding RNA is filed under the name Homo sapiens (human). RNAcentral's name for it is "HSALNT0317556". Lineage: Eukaryota; Metazoa; Chordata; Mammalia; Primates; Hominidae. The record is from RNAcentral.